This 70-nucleotide transfer RNA is filed under the name Desmognathus aeneus. Its description in RNAcentral is "tRNA-Trp". It matches the Rfam family "tRNA". Rfam says of the family: Transfer RNA (tRNA) molecules are approximately 80 nucleotides in length. Their secondary structure includes four short double-helical elements and three loops (D, anti-codon, and T loops). Lineage: Eukaryota; Metazoa; Chordata; Amphibia; Caudata; Plethodontidae. The record is from RNAcentral.
AAAGAUUUAAGUUAUAAGACUAAGGGCCUUCAAAGCCUAAAGCAGGGGCUAAAUCCCCCUAAUCUUUGAU